RNAcentral lists this ribosomal RNA (428 nucleotides) under Bacteroidota bacterium. Its description in RNAcentral is "Bacteroidetes bacterium partial 16S ribosomal RNA". It matches the Rfam family "Bacterial small subunit ribosomal RNA", at positions 355 to 776 of the family's 1533-position model. Lineage: Bacteria; Pseudomonadati; Bacteroidota. The record is from RNAcentral.
UAGGGAAUCUUCCGCAAUGGACGCAAGUCUGACGGAGCAACGCCGCGUGAGUGAAGAAGGAUUUCGGUUCGUAAAACUCUGUUGUUAGAGAAGAACAGCGCAUAGAGUAACUGUUAUGCGUGUGACGGUAUCUAACCAGAAAGGGACGGCUAACUACGUGCCAGCAGCCGCGGUAAUACGUAGGUCCCGAGCGUUGUCCGGAUUUAUUGGGCGUAAAGCGAGCGCAGGCGGUUAGAUAAGUCUGAAGUUAAAGGCAGUGGCUCAACCAUUGUAGGCUUUGGAAACUGUUUAACUUGAGUGCAGAAGGGGAGAGUGGAAUUCCAUGUGUAGCGGUGAAAUGCGUAGAUAUAUGGAGGAACACCAGUGGCGAAGGCGACUCUCUGGUCUGUAACUGACGCUGAGGCUCGAAAGCGUGGGUAGCAAACAGG